AUGAGUUAAGAAGACAAAUGUUAAUACUAACAACAGAAGAUGAAGAAGAUUAUGUUCAACAAUCAAAUGAUCAAUUCAAGAAUUCAAAAAGAGUAGAAAUGAAAUCUUUAGUGUUACAACAACCUAAAGGAAUUCAAUUUUAUUGGUAUGGAGAUAAAGAGGAUUAUAAUAAAGUUCCAAAAUGGUUAUUGGAUUUAUGGAGUAAAGGGA
Molecule: unclassified non-coding RNA, 210 nt
Filed under: Hevea brasiliensis (rubber tree)
Lineage: Eukaryota; Viridiplantae; Streptophyta; Magnoliopsida; Malpighiales; Euphorbiaceae
Source: RNAcentral